GCAGUUUUCAUGACUGAUAGCCCUACAGGUAAAAUGUCUGGAAUGCCUUUCGCGUGGCGGGGGUGGCGAGAGGCAAUUGGAACACGAGCAGAACCUGCAUGGUUGUGUGGGAAGAGGAUGAAACAGUUUGAAGCAAACAAGUGGCCAAGAGUCACUUAACUGUGGUUCCUGGGACUUGAAUUUCUGAUGAUGAUGUCAUCGUAUGUGGAGAAAUGAAUCAGAUCUCACCUCGAGUUGAGAUGGAUGUCAAAACGCCUUAAGAUGGAUUCAAAUAGGCUUGUGUGAGGAUGCUGUGAGGAGCUUCGUCAAUAUACCACUAGAGGGUGACAUCAUAACAAGUACAAGGUAAA
This is a long non-coding RNA of Syngnathus typhle (broad-nosed pipefish), 350 nucleotides long. RefSeq lists it as uncharacterized. Lineage: Eukaryota; Metazoa; Chordata; Actinopteri; Syngnathiformes; Syngnathidae. The record is from RefSeq and is a predicted model, not a curated record. The transcript has 3 exons.